AAUCAACUUUCUACCGGGAAAAACCAUUUGCCUACGUUUACUAGGCAAUUUAAUUUAAAAAAAAAAGAAUCUAAACGCAUCUGUAUUCUUAAAGAAAUUUACUUUUAUUUUCACGGUUUUCCCGAUAGCAAACGAAAAAUAUUACUUAUUUUUAAUAUUAUUUUGUGAAUAUCUUAAGUGAUAAAACCAUAGUUACAAAUUCUUCAACAAAACUUUUUAGAUAUAUAUUACUUUACUCACUAGCCACCAUUUUGAGUGAAUCGAUAAUUUUUUAGCUUGUGUAUUCUUUUUCUUUGGCGUGUUUUCGCAUUAAACGAAGACAAAUUUAACGCGACGUCGCGAAGUAGAUAACUAGUGGGGUAUACUGCUACACAAAAAAAAAAGCCUAUAUAUCUGUGAAGAACAAAAGCGACAAGAAAUGGCAGACGAAGACCUAUCACUGAACGAAGAUCAACUUCUGGAUAACUUGGAUGAUGCUAACGGAGAAUCGGAAAUUUUGAACGAGGAGGAAUCCAAUAUGCAAAUUGACCCAGAAUUAGAAGCAAUUAAGGCUCGAGUAAAAGAAAUGGAAGAAGAAGCUGAAAAAAUUAAACAAAUGCAAUCUGAAGUAGAUAAGCAAAUGGCCGGCUCCACCACUGGCAUCGCUACAGUACCUCUUUCCAUCGAAGAGAAACAAGAAAUCGAUACGAGGUCGGUGUACGUAGGCAAUGUUGAUUAUGGGGCUUCCGCUGAGGAAUUGGAGUCUCAUUUUCAUGGGUGUGGAACUAUUAAUCGCGUAACAAUAUUAUGUAAUAAGGCCGACGGUCACCCGAAGGGAUUUGCCUACAUCGAAUUUGGAUCAAAGGAAUUUGUGGAGACCGCUUUAGCAAUGAACGAAACAUUGUUUAGAGGCCGACAAAUAAAGGUUAUGUCGAAGAGAACGAACCGUCCAGGACUGUCAACGACUAACCGCUUUUCUCGUGGAAGCUUCAGAGGCAGAGGUGCUAGAGUUUCCCGUGCUUGCUGUCACAGUACCUUUAGGGGCGCAAGACGGCCAAUGUAAUUUAGGAUGGGUUACCGUGGCAGGGCAAACUACUACGCACCUUACUGAUUAUUGCUUUUUCCUUCUUAUUUUUAAGAUUUUUAUUGAAAAGAAAAAAAAAAUAUUAUAGUUCAAAAAACAUUAUAUGUCUUCUUAGUUAGUAUAAAAAGGAAAAAAAAAAAAUAAAACAAGAAAAGAAGGAAAAUAAGAAGAAUAAAAUUUUAAAAAAGGAAUGAUUUCAUAAAAGAAGAAAAAAAAAUACUAAGGAAAACAAACUUAAAAAAAAAAUAUACAUAAAAAUAAACAUAAUUAUGUUUAACGAGCACUUAUUAUUUCAACUAUAAUGUUUUUUGAAUGGGUCGAAGAUAUUUAAAAAUUUAAAAAAAAAAUAUUUUAAGAAAUAAGAAGAAAAAAAAAAGAAGAUAUCUAAGAACAAAAAAAAAAUGAAAAAAAAAAUAGAGGGAAGAUGAAUGAAAGAAAAAGAAAAAGUAAAAAGAAGAAAACAAAAAAAAGGAGACGAAAAAAAAAUUUAAAGAAAAAAAGAACUAAAAGAAGUUAAAAAAAAACCAACAACAAACGCAAAACAAGGAAAUGAGAAAAUCCCAAAUAACCUAUAUAAUGAUUAUAUAAAAUUAAAUUACUGAUAAUGAAGAUAUAAUAAAAAAAAAUAUUUCAAACAAA
Molecule: RNA transcript, 1702 nt
Organism: Episyrphus balteatus (marmalade hoverfly)
Lineage: Eukaryota; Metazoa; Arthropoda; Insecta; Diptera; Syrphidae
Gene: Pabp2
Gene name: polyadenylate-binding protein 2
Exons: 5
Source: RefSeq, a predicted model, not a curated record